GUGCUGAUUACAUUGCAUUUGAUUACAGCAGCCAAAGACGUGUCCAGAGGAAAAGAGACUUUUAAAGAUUAGUCUUGCAGUAAGAAUGGUUGCUUAACAAAUUCAGACUACUAGGCUACACCAAUCACCAAUUAAGAAGCAAGGAAAAUGAGUGUGAGUCAUUUUCCUUAAUUCUUAAUGUGUUGAAAAUUCCAACACUGCUAAGGUCAUUCAGGGAAUCGAGGCUCAAUUUGAAGAAACUGAAGAAUUGAAGUCUAUGAUUAAUAUGAAUGAACCAAUUAUCUAAGAGAAGAUUUCAAAGCUGAGAACACACUAAUUCCACACAACCUGAAGUGGAAUCUGCUAAGAUGUCUCAUAACUAAUAAAAAGACUCUGGGGAGCAAAUUCUCAGAUCCUGUGAGAAUAUGAAGUGUCUGAGUCCAUGGUGCUCCUCUCAUUACUCACUGGCAGGCCCUUUGGGGAGAACGUUCCCACUCUUGCAUGCAGUUGAGGCAGCAGCAUCCGGGUGAAUGUCACCAACUCUCUUGGACAUAAUCAUGUUCAUCUCCUUGGUCUCUCUGGCCCACAGCUCCAUCUCCUCAACCACGGAUCACCCUCCCCACACCCACAGCCUGGACGCCACCUUGGGGCAGCCUUACUCGCCUCCCCUCUCCCACAGCCUGAACGCCACCUUGGGGCGGCCUCACUCACUUCCCCUCUCACCCACAGGCCUUCACUACCUGACUUUCAAAGUCUUAAGAACCAUCAUUCCACAUAUUUUCUCCAGGAACAGGGGCAAGUCUAGUGCCUGUUAUUCCAUCUCGGCCAGUAACUGAGGGACAAAUGCAGCAGAGCUAAGGGUGUCCACACAGAAGCUGAGCACUGUGUUUUGAUCCCAAUUCUGCCGUUCAACUCUGCAGUGUUUUGCCUGUCUCCUUUUAGCCUCUGUUUCCUCAUUUCUAACAUGAGGUAAAAGAAGUUCCUGCCUUAGCAGGUUUCUAUGAGGACUCAAUGAGCCAAUAUGUCUGAAGCACUCAGCAUAGCAUCCAGCAGACACCAGGCACUGCACAGAACUCAGCCUACUCAGCCAAACAUCAGCUCCCUGCACCCAGUGCUCUUCCCGUCUCAGAAAUAAACGCAUAACAUAUGAGCAGAAACUGGAAAACAAAUAUCUUCAAAACGUGACUUCCUAGAAGACUCACUCAAAUGCACAAUAGAAAUCUUUCUUCUGUGUUUGACCAUCACCUUUAAGAUAAUAUCCAAGCAAAACCAUAUUACAACUCAGUGAUUUAACAUCUACUGGAAACCUGGUGAAGAUGAAGAGAACACACUUUUCUGGUCCCCUUUGCUACCCGCAAUUUCCCUUCCUCUAUUCAAUGGCAAGCUGCCAGGUGCUGCAGGAGAGGGCAGUGCUGUCACUCCCCUAAUCAGUUAGGAAGCCCUCCAUGGAGCCUGGACCGCCCCUAGGUCAGUGUCAGGGCCUCAGGUGAGCACAGACAGGAGAACAUGUCCAUUCCAUCAAUAGACCAGGUGUCAACAUCCUCUCUGUACAAAGCAUCAUGCUAGCAUUUGUAUGUAUGCAGCGUUUAAGUACCACCCUUCCACAAGUUUAAAUUCAGCUGAGGAAACCACAUGAGACUCCUAAAAAUAUGAAAGAGUAUCUGAGUUCUUAAAAAAAAAAAAA
RNAcentral lists this long non-coding RNA (1663 nucleotides) under Macaca fascicularis (crab-eating macaque). RNAcentral describes it as "lncRNA (ENSMFAG00000059707.1)". The record is from RNAcentral. Lineage: Eukaryota; Metazoa; Chordata; Mammalia; Primates; Cercopithecidae.